Long non-coding RNA from Phascolarctos cinereus (koala), 1121 nucleotides. RefSeq lists it as uncharacterized. The record is from RefSeq and is a predicted model, not a curated record. Lineage: Eukaryota; Metazoa; Chordata; Mammalia; Diprotodontia; Phascolarctidae.
GGUUGGUAGCAGCUAUUCCACCCUCGGGUCCACCCAGCCUCGUCCAAAGCCCAGCGCUCUUCUCCAUCUGUCCCCUUCCUCCCACAUGAUGUUUCAGCCUCCCGGUUGCAGGGCAAAUCACUGAAACUGUCUGGACCUCAGUUUCCUCAUUUAAAGGAAGGGGAUGGACUCAUCUCUAAGACUCCUUUCCAGCUCUAAAUCAAAGAGCCUACAAUUGAAACUCAAGAUAAGGGAGGUGCAAAGAGCAGCAGGCUAUCAGUCACCAGACCUGGACUGACCCCAUCCCAAGCUCCACAUCAGUUCCCCUGGAGCUCAGAGGCCCAGCUUCAUGGCAUACCUUGGCAGGAACCAGAGAUCUGCUAGCAACUCCCUACACAGGCCAGUAAUAAAUGCCUAUUGGUUGAUUGCUUGAUUGAGCCCUUCCAGAACUGACCAACUGUGUUUAAGGAGAACUCAGAGAUCCUACAAGUAGGAAGAACUUCUCAUGAUUGGCUAAGGGCUGCCCCCCAACAGACAGAUGCCAAGGUGAGAAUGUGCCUCAAUUGUUCACUGGGUGUGAAUGAGGUCUGGACUCCUGGGUGCUACAGAAGUCUGUUUGGAUUGGCAGAGGGACUCAGUUACACUCUCUGGGGCUUGGAUAAAACCAGGAAGCUGGCUGGAACCAGAGAUUCAAGCAAGCAGCAGGCCAGGAAAGAGCAUUCCAGCCAAAAGGUUGAGAGAACAAGGAACCUUGGUCUCCUCCUCCAGAAGACUCUGGACUUCCCAUCUUCUCAUCGGAGUCCUAGCAGCAUGGUCAAAACAAGUGAUGGCUGCAUCUCCAUCUGGAGCCAAGAACAACCUGAGAUGCAGAUUUGAGCCUCUACAAAGGGCCCCAAAGGAAAAAACCUACACUAUGCCUAAGGGGAUCUUCACCAGCACCCAUCAAGUGAGUGGAGGGAAGAAACCUCCAAGAAGAGAAGAAAAGGACUUCCAGGAGCCUUGAAUUGCCCCUUUACCACAAAUAUGCUCUAAGUUUGAACCUGCUUUCCCCUGAGCUUUGAAUGUACUGAUGGGAAAAUGUUUCACAGAUUUGUAGGGGGAUGUUUCAUCUUAAUUGUUCCUACUCUACAACACCAAGUAAA